GGCUCAGGAUGAACGCUGGCGGCGUGCCUAAUACAUGCAAGUCGAACGAGGUGCUCAAGUAGCAAUACGAGAGUAUCCUAGUGGCGAACGGGUGAGUAACGCGUUGGUGACCUGCCCCAAAGUGUGGGAUAACAGUCCGAAAGGACUGCUAAUACCGCAUGUGGUCUUCGGAUCCAGAAACCGAUGACUAAAGGAGUAAUCCGCUUUGGGAGGGACCUGCGUCCCAUCAGCUAGUUGGUAGGGUAACGGCCUACCAAGGCUACGACGGGUAGGGGACCUGAGAGGGUGGCCCCCCACAAUGGAACUGAAACACGGUCCAUACACCUACGGGUGGCAGCAGUAGGGAAUAUUGCACAAUGGGCGAAAGCCUGAUGCAGCAACGCCGCGUGUGCGAAGAAGGCCUUCGGGUCGUAAAGCACUUUUCUGAGAGAUGAGAAAGGACAGUAUCUCAGGAAUAAGUCUCGGCUAACUACGUGCCAGCAGCCGCGGUAAAACGUAGGAGGCGAGCGUUAUCCGGAUUCACUGGGCGUAAAGCGCGUGCAGGCGGUUCGGUAAGUUGGGCGUGAAAUCUCCUGGCUCAACUAGGAGAGGUCGUUCAAUACUACCGGGCUAGAGAGCGGUAGAGGAAGAUGGAAUUCCCGGUGUAGUGGUGAAAUGCGUAGAUAUCGGGAGGAACACCAGUGGCGAAGGCGAUCUUCUGGACCGUUUCUGACGCUCAGACGCGACAGCUAGGGUAGCAAACGGGAUUAGAGACCCCGGUAGUCCUAGCCGUAAACGAUGUGAACUUGGCGUCGGUGGGUUAAACUCCAUCGGUGCCGCAGCUAACGCGAUAAGUUCACCGCCUGGGGACUACGGCCGCAAGGUUAAA
Molecule: ribosomal RNA, 868 nt
Filed under: uncultured bacterium
Lineage: Bacteria
Description: bacterial SSU rRNA
Rfam family: Bacterial small subunit ribosomal RNA
Source: RNAcentral